This 474-nucleotide ribosomal RNA is filed under the name uncultured bacterium. RNAcentral describes it as "partial 16S ribosomal RNA". It matches the Rfam family "Bacterial small subunit ribosomal RNA", at positions 28 to 507 of the family's 1533-position model. The record is from RNAcentral.
GACGAACGCUGGCGGCGUGCCUAAUACAUGCAAGUAGAACGCUGAAGGAGGAGCUUGCUUCUCUGGAUGAGUUGCGAACGGGUGAGUAACGCGUAGGUAACCUGCCUGGUAGCGGGGGAUAACUAUUGGAAACGAUAGCUAAUACCGCAUAAGAGUAGAUGUUGCAUGACAUUUGCUUAAAAGGUGCAAUUGCAUCGCUACCAGAUGGACCUGCGGUGUAUUAGCUAGUUGGUGGGGUAACGGCUCACCAAGGCGACGAUACAUAGCCGACCUGAGAGGGUGAGCGGCCACAUUGGGACUGAGAUACGGACCAGGCUGCUACGGGAGGAAGCAGUGGGGAAUAUUGCAGAAUGGGCGGAAGCCUGAUGCAGAGACGCCGCGGGCGGGAUGACCGCCUUGGGGUUGUAAACCGCUGGCGCCUGUGACGAAGCGUGAGUGACGGUAAUGGGUAAAGAAGCACCGGCUAACUACGUG